Molecule: ribosomal RNA, 995 nt
Filed under: uncultured organism
Description: bacterial SSU rRNA
Rfam family: Bacterial small subunit ribosomal RNA
Source: RNAcentral
UGGGGAAUAUUGCACAAUGGGGGAAACCCUGAUGCAGCGACGCCGCGUGGAGGAAGAAGGUCUUCGGAUUGUAAACUCCUGUUGUUGAGGAAGAUAAUGACGGUACUCAACAAGGAAGUGACGGCUAACUACGUGCCAGCAGCCGCGGUAAAACGUAGGUCACAAGCGUUGUCCGGAAUUACUGGGUGUAAAGGGAGCGCAGGCGGGAAGACAAGUUGGAAGUGAAAUCUAUGGGCUCAACCCAUAAACUGCUUUCAAAACUGUUUUUCUUGAGUAGUGCAGAGGUAGGCGGAAUUCCCGGUGUAGCGGUGGAAUGCGUAGAUAUCGGGAGGAACACCAGUGGCGAAGGCGGCCUACUGGGCACCAACUGACGCUGAGGCUCGAAAGUGUGGGUAGCAAACAGGAUUAGAUACCCUGGUAGUCCACACCGUAAACGAUGAUUACUAGGUGUUGGAGGAUUGACCCCUUCAGUGCCGCAGUUAACACAAUAAGUAAUCCACCUGGGGAGUACGACCGCAAGGUUGAAACUCAAAGGAAUUGACGGGGGCCCGCACAAGCAGUGGAGUAUGUGGUUUAAUUCGACGCAACGCGAAGAACCUUACCAAGUCUUGACAUCCUGCGACGAUGCUGGAAACAGUAUUUUCCUUCGGGACGCAGAGACAGGUGGUGCAUGGUUGUCGUCAGCUCGUAUCGUGAGAUGUUGGGUUAAGUCCCGCAACGAGCGCAACCCUUACUGUCAGUUACUACGCAAGAGGACUCUGGCAGGACUGCCGUUGACAAAACGGAGGAAGGUGGGGAUGACGUCAAAUCAUCAUGCCCUUUAUGACUUGGGCUACACACGUACUACAAUGGCGUUAAACAAAGAGAAGCAAGACCGCGAGGUGGAGCAAAACUCAGAAACAACGUCCCAGUUCGGACUGCAGGCUGCAACUCGCCUGCACGAAGUCGGAAUUGCUAGUAAUCGUGGAUCAGCAUGCCACGGUGAAUACGUUCCC